Molecule: ribosomal RNA, 459 nt
Filed under: uncultured bacterium
Lineage: Bacteria
Description: partial 16S ribosomal RNA
Rfam family: Bacterial small subunit ribosomal RNA
Source: RNAcentral
CCUACGGGUGACAGCAGUGAGGCAUAUUGGUCAAUGGCCGAGAGGCUGAACCAGCCAAGUCGCGUGAGGGAAGAAUGUCCUAUGGAUUGUAAACCUCUUUUGUCAGUGCGCAAAGUCCCACACGUGUGGGUGUUUGAGAGUACCUGACGAACAAGCAUCGGCUAACUCCGUGCCAUCAGCCGCGGUAAUACGGGGGAUGCGAGCGUUAUCCGGAUUUUUGGGGUUUAAAGGGUGCGUAGGCGGGUUAUCAAGUCAGCGGUAAAAUCGUGGAGCUCAACUCCAUCCAGCCGUUGAAACUUAUGAGCUUGAGUGUGCGAGAAGUAGGCGGAAUGCGUGGUGUAGCGGUGAAAUGCAUAGAUAUCACGCAGAACUCCGAUUGCGAAGGCAGCUUACUAAGCCAUAACUGACACUGAAGCACGAAAGCGUGGGGAUCAAACAGGAUUAGAUACCCCAGUAGUU